AUUCCAUGGUGAGGGCAAUUUUUGAUCAUCAUAUUGAAACGCUCAAAAGCCUCAUGAAACAUCUCACCAUGUUGUUGUUGGAAGCUUCUCAACCCCUUUUGUUGCAU
Molecule: small nucleolar RNA, 107 nt
Filed under: Helianthus annuus (common sunflower)
Lineage: Eukaryota; Viridiplantae; Streptophyta; Magnoliopsida; Asterales; Asteraceae
Description: sRNA HanXRQr2_Chr14g0623861
Rfam family: Plant small nucleolar RNA R71
About the family: R71 is a member of the C/D box family of snoRNAs containing the C (UGAUGA) and D (CUGA) box motifs. Multiple nearly identical copies of this snoRNA have been identified in Arabidopsis, and it is thought to function as a 2'-O-ribose methylation guide for 18S ribosomal RNA.
Source: Rfam by way of RNAcentral